Molecule: long non-coding RNA, 647 nt
Organism: Sardina pilchardus (European sardine)
Lineage: Eukaryota; Metazoa; Chordata; Actinopteri; Clupeiformes; Clupeidae
Exons: 3
Source: RefSeq, a predicted model, not a curated record
CCUCUCUGUUUGCUGGUUUACCGUCUAUGUCUGUUUGUAGCAUCGUUGAGGUGGCUAUGCCUAUGUUAAGGAAAAGACAAACCGAGGACUGAUGAUUGCCAGUGCAAACCAUAUGGAAGAAAAGAUUACAAAUUCACCCAGGCCGUUGCAACAGUUGUAGUAACAGUCAGCAGCUGAUAUCUCCUCAACCCUGAAUCCAUGAGAUGGAUUCACUAGAUGGCGAUCCAGCAGCUGAACAAGAUGGAGGAAUUCUUCGGAAGAGGCACAGAGAGCAAAGAAAAGCUGGAACAGUGCAGAAGAUUCAAGAGAUGAAACAGAGGAUGAUAGAGGCAGAGAAAAAGCAGGAUCAGUGGCUCUAUUGGAGGACCAUCCUCCUUGGCAUGGGUGCUGGUGCAGCCAUCACUGCUGGACUCUUCACAUUAUGGACUCUCCUCUUACGCUGACAACCUACAAUGAUAGUAAUUAUAAGUAUGAGACUGCCACAUCACCAUUACCAUUAUGAAUGAUGGUGAAUACUAUCAUGAAGAUCCCUGCUUGCGUUAAUGAACAGUAAGACCUUGGGAUUAAUCUGUAAAACAUGUCAAUGCAUUAAGCAACAUUCGGCAGCACCACAUUUUUGGUUUCAUUGGUAUUUUGAAGAAGACAAA